CUUUAGCUUCACAAAAACCU
RNAcentral lists this small nuclear RNA (20 nucleotides) under Arabidopsis thaliana (thale cress). Its description in RNAcentral is "snRNA_14578". Lineage: Eukaryota; Viridiplantae; Streptophyta; Magnoliopsida; Brassicales; Brassicaceae. The record is from RNAcentral.